GUUCCUGUAGCGCAAUGGAUAGCGCAUUGAACUUUUAAUCCAAAGGGCGUGAGUUCGAUUCUUACUUGGAAAGGCA
Molecule: non-coding RNA, 76 nt
Organism: Trichonephila clavipes
Lineage: Eukaryota; Metazoa; Arthropoda; Arachnida; Araneae; Nephilidae
Source: the annotation of a GenBank genome assembly